UCCCUCAUAGCUGAGUUGGUAAAGAACCUGCCUGCAAUGCAGGAGAAUUGGGUUUGAUUCCUGGGUCGGGAA
RNAcentral lists this transfer RNA (72 nucleotides) under Ovis aries (sheep). It matches the Rfam family "tRNA". From Rfam's summary of the family: Transfer RNA (tRNA) molecules are approximately 80 nucleotides in length. Their secondary structure includes four short double-helical elements and three loops (D, anti-codon, and T loops). Further hydrogen bonds mediate the characteristic L-shaped molecular structure. tRNAs have two regions of fundamental functional importance: the anti-codon, which is responsible for specific mRNA codon recognition, and the 3' end, to which the tRNAs corresponding amino acid is attached (by aminoacyl-tRNA synthetases). tRNAs cope with the degeneracy of the genetic code in two manners: having more than one tRNA (with a specific anti-codon) for a particular amino acid; and 'wobble' base-pairing, i.e. permitting non-standard base-pairing at the 3rd anti-codon position. Lineage: Eukaryota; Metazoa; Chordata; Mammalia; Artiodactyla; Bovidae. The record is from Rfam by way of RNAcentral.